CCAGACUCCUACGGGAGGCAGCAGUGGGGGAUAUUGCACAAUGGGGGGAACCCUGAUGCAGCGACGCCGCGUGGGUGAAGGAGUAUUUCGGUAUGUAAAGCCCUAUCGGCAGGGAAGAAGCAAGACGGUACCUGACUAAGAAGCCCCGGCUAACUACGUGCCAGCAGCCGCGGUAAUACGUAGGGGGCAAGCGUUAUCCGGAUUCACUGGGUGUAAAGGGAGCGUAGACGGCGACGCAAGUCUGGAGUGAAAGCCCGGGGCCCAACCCCGGGACUGCUCUGGAAACUGCGGCGCUGGAGUACGGGAGGGGCGGGCGGAAUUCCUGGUGUAGCGGUGAAAUGCGUAGAUAUCAGGAGGAACACCGGUGGCGAAGGCGGCCUGCUGGACUGCGACUGACGUUGAGGCCCGAAAGCGUGGGGAGCAAGCAGGAUUAGAUACCCUUGUAACG
This 448-nucleotide ribosomal RNA is filed under the name uncultured bacterium. Its description in RNAcentral is "partial 16S ribosomal RNA". It matches the Rfam family "Bacterial small subunit ribosomal RNA", at positions 331 to 793 of the family's 1533-position model. The record is from RNAcentral.